RNAcentral lists this ribosomal RNA (260 nucleotides) under Rhizophagus irregularis. Lineage: Eukaryota; Fungi; Glomeromycota; Glomeromycetes; Glomerales; Glomeraceae. The record is from RNAcentral.
CAGUCGUACCGGCGGAUAAUCAGCCUUUCGGGUGCGAUUCUGUGGGGCGUGAGGAGCUUAACCGCCUUCAUGUUUUGCAUAUUCGUGCACAUUUGGCGUACUUGUCCGUGUGGUGGGUUAACAUCAAUUUCGGUCGUCAUAAAAUGACUGGAGGAAUGUAGCUUCGAUCUUGUAUUGAAGUGUUAUAGCCUUGGUAGAUGUGAUGAUCGAGAUUGAGGAUUGCAACGGACUACCCGUUCGGGCUACCUGUCUGGUCUCUG